AUGGAGAUGAGUGCUGGCGCGGCAGUAGGAGAAGCUGUGGCGGCGGCGGAUCUGGUGACCGCCGGGUCGGCUCGUCAUUCGUGGCCGGCCGGAGUCACGCUUGGAGCAGUUGGUUCUGGUCCAUCUACUACUCGUGACUGGGAUGGAAGGAUCAUGUCGUUGAUAGUUCAGCAUUACAAGCAACAACCACUGAGCCAUGAGAGUCUUUCUAGAUGGUACUCUAUCUACAUACUCUUACAAGAAACAACCAACGAGUUAUGCAUUCAAAAUGACUUUACCGAAUAUGUAAGAUUGUCCAGGAAUUCUGCUGUCAGGACAUUGGAUUUUCUAAAAAGAAAAGCCACACAUGAAGAAAAUAAUGCGGCUGAGUCAAGUGAUUGUAUGAUUGUCACCACUGGAGUUACUGGCAAUCCACUACUCACCCCAGUGUCCGGAAAAGCUGUUAAGAAUUCUAAAUCAAAGACUAAGAACAAUAAAGCUGGGCCUUAG
Molecule: ribosomal RNA, 489 nt
Filed under: Triticum aestivum (bread wheat)
Lineage: Eukaryota; Viridiplantae; Streptophyta; Magnoliopsida; Poales; Poaceae
Description: partial small subunit ribosomal RNA
Source: RNAcentral